CAUCGCUCUGUCUUUGGGGUCUUCUUGUCCAGCAGCCUGAGCGUCCUGAGCUCCGUCUCUGUCCACGCAGGGCUCCGGAUACUCCUCAGGGCCAUUGUUCCAAUACACACCAACUUGUGAGGACCUGCUACUACUUUGAAMCAAAGCCCAGACCUCGACCCUGGAGAGCACACACACCAUGUUCUUAUGUGGUCAAAAAGCGCUCCAGGCGGUCAAGAGGAACGACGCUGUGGCGCGAAAUAAGACAGUAAAGCUCUGCUGAAAGGAGGACAAAAGGAAAGAGUCGUCCUUUUGUCUCUGUAGCUGCGGGACGUUAACCUUUAAGACUCUGCUGUUUUGACCUUUUAWCCAAACCGCUGACGCAAUCUGCCCCAGUUGGUGGAUGACCUUACUUUGAUGGAGAGACCAYGGUCCGUUUCCACCAAGCAGAGUCGCAAACCAAACCAGGAGCUGCAACUGAAGAAAUAAUUACAGUAAAAGAGAACAAGCUAAUGUUUAAAACACUGAUCGGUUCACUGACUGAACAUCACAUCUU
Austrofundulus limnaeus is the source of this 535-nucleotide long non-coding RNA. RefSeq lists it as uncharacterized. Lineage: Eukaryota; Metazoa; Chordata; Actinopteri; Cyprinodontiformes; Rivulidae. The record is from RefSeq and is a predicted model, not a curated record. The transcript has 3 exons.